Molecule: long non-coding RNA, 1040 nt
Filed under: Ursus americanus (American black bear)
Lineage: Eukaryota; Metazoa; Chordata; Mammalia; Carnivora; Ursidae
Description: lncRNA (ENSUAMG00000027989.1)
Source: RNAcentral
AUUUAAUUCUUCACCAGGUUCUCGUUAUAACCUCUAAAAGAAGCUUUUCUAAAGCCGGAGAAUUUCUGCUCAUAGCCUCUCGAGCACCUCGUCCACUCCCUCAUGCUCACUCUUUGUGUAGGCUUUUCUCCCUGAAGAAUCAUGCAUGCAGCAUUGAUGUCUUGAUUCCAUGUGCUUCCUCCUUAGUGCUACCUUGCCCUGGCCAAAGGAGGCUUAUCUGAUGACCAUGUCCUCAUCCUGCCCAUUGGCCACUACCAGUCAGUGGUGGAGCUUUCAGCAGAGGUGGUAGAAGAGGUGGAGAAGUAUAAGGUGACACUGAGGCGGUUCUUUAAAAGUCGGGGGAAACGGUGUGUUCUGUUUGAGAGAAAUUAUAAGAGCCAUCACCUCCAGCUACAGGUCAUUCCUGUGCCACUCAGCUGCUGCACUACAGAUGACAUCAAAGAUGCCUUCAUCACCCAGGCAGAGCAGCAGCAGAUGGAGCUGCUGGAAAUCCCAGAGCACUCUGACAUCAAGCAGAUUACACAGCCAGGAGCAGCAUAUUUUUAUGUUGAACUUGACACGGGAGAGAAGCUUUUCCAUAGAAUUAAAAAGAAUUUUCCUUUACAGUUUGGAAGGGAGGUACUGGCCAGUGAAGCCAUCCUUAAUAUUCCUGACAAGUCUGACUGGAGGCAAUGUCAGGUCAGCAAGGAAGAGGAGGAGAUGCUGGCUAGCCGCUUCCGGAAAGACUUUGAGCCCUUUGACUUCACUCUGGAUGAUUAAGCAAAGGGAAAGGCACUUCAUGAACUUGACAGGAAGUAGUAGCCUGUUUUUUAAAGAAACUACAGUCUCCCAUGGGGACUGUUUCUCUGCCUCUUUUUUGUGCAUUCCCAUGGAACCUGCCUGCGGCAAGAGGCCUAAGAUAGAGUAUUUUUUUGGAAAUAUUUCUAGGAUGAAAUUCCUGUUAAAAUAAGCAUGUCUGUCAUCCUGCUCCAAGUACAGUUUAUGUUAAUCAACAUUUUCAAAAACAUUAAACCAUCAAAUAAAAUCCAGAUGCUUUUUCA